This 362-nucleotide ribosomal RNA is filed under the name Hoplobatrachus rugulosus (rugose frog). RNAcentral describes it as "partial 12S rRNA". The record is from RNAcentral. Lineage: Eukaryota; Metazoa; Chordata; Amphibia; Anura; Dicroglossidae.
CCCGUGAGGACGCCCUUUACCCCUACCCCAGGCUUAGGAGCUGGUAUCAGGCGCAACUUUUACGCCCAUAACACCUAGUCCCACCACACCCCCAAGGGUACUCAGCAGUGAUAAACAUUGUCUAUGAGCGCCAGCUUGACCCAGUUAUAAAGAAGAGGGCCGGCCAACUUGGUGCCAGCCGCCGCGGCUAGACCAACUGGACUCAAAUUGAUAAUUCCCGGCGUUAAGCGUGAUUAAAGCCAUACACCAAUUAGAGUUAAACCUAUGUUGAGCAGUGAAAAGCACACGAUAGGGAAACCCAGAAACGAAAGUUACUCUAAUCUCUGCUUGAAUACACGACAGCUAGAAAACAAACUGGGAUU